This 253-nucleotide ribosomal RNA is filed under the name uncultured bacterium. RNAcentral describes it as "partial 16S ribosomal RNA". It matches the Rfam family "Bacterial small subunit ribosomal RNA", at positions 524 to 776 of the family's 1533-position model. The record is from RNAcentral.
UACGUAGGGGGCAAGCGUUGUCCGGAAUCAUUGGGCGUAAAGCGCGCGUAGGCGGCCCGGCAAGUCCGCUCUGAAAGUCCAGGGCUUAACCCUGGAAAGCGGGUGGAUACUGCCGGGCUAGAAUCCGGAAGAGGCGAGUGGAAUUCCUGGUGUAGCGGUGAAAUGCGUAGAUAUCAGGAAGAACAUCGGUGGCGAAGGCGCUCUGCUGGACCAUAACUGACACUCAGGGACGAAAGCUAGGGGAGCGAAUGGG